ACGUGGACCCCGUGCGGCGUCCAACCUGUGAACUCCCCCAGGGCCGGAAGGCAGCAAGGGUAAGCGGGCUCUGGCGGGUGCACGGGGUCCCCUUCUUU
This 98-nucleotide signal recognition particle RNA is filed under the name Halopolyspora algeriensis. RNAcentral's name for it is "Bacterial small signal recognition particle RNA". It matches the Rfam family "Bacterial small signal recognition particle RNA". Rfam says of the family: The signal recognition particle (SRP) is a universally conserved ribonucleoprotein involved in the co-translational targeting of proteins to membranes. The record is from RNAcentral. Lineage: Bacteria; Bacillati; Actinomycetota; Actinomycetes.